Dicentrarchus labrax (European seabass) is the source of this 2261-nucleotide long non-coding RNA. RefSeq lists it as uncharacterized. NCBI's taxonomy places the organism in Eukaryota, Metazoa, Chordata, Actinopteri, Moronidae. The record is from RefSeq and is a predicted model, not a curated record. The transcript has 3 exons.
CGGGGUUCCUGACUAGCAGUCAGACGGUCAGACCGGGUCUGACAGGUGUGCAUUUGGCAAAAUGCCAGACUUUUGUGCCGCCUACGGAUGUUCCCGUGAAAGAAACGCCGAAAUGAAGAAACAUGGAUUAACAUUUCACAAGUAGUGCCUCUGGCCAGCCAGUGUAUGCAUCCACGGCUACCAAGAGCCGCAAUGAGUUGGCCCGUGUGCUUCCUGGAGCACCACUGAUGUCAGUCCUGGAGGGAGAACUGGUCUCCCCUCUGGUCCCCUCCACAACUCAUCGGCCUUGAGUGCUCCCCUGCUUAUCCAAACACUCUGAUCAUAUGGGGAGGUUUUUUCCUGUUCUUUUCUCAACAUGUCUUUGUCACAGGGGGGCAAUAUGUCAUAUACUGUCUUUCCUGCUUGCAUCAUCAUGUACUGUGUACCAUAGCCGGCUUUCUGUUUUGCCGCUUGGUCUGCUGCGUCAUUUCCUCUAGCUGUCAUAUCAUCGCCUGUAGUUCUUCUAACUGAGCUGAUACUUUUCCUGUUACUGUUUCUGCUUUUACUGUCUCGAACCCCCUUUCUGUCUGUCUCACCACUGCCCAAGCUGCUUUUAACCCUUCUGUUGGAUGUCUGAAGCAGCAUCCAUCUGUGAACAGUGUCUCCUCUGCAUCUCCUAUCGGCUGACUCUGCAAAUCUAUUCUCACCCUCAGAUCUUUCUGUACUCUUUCUUCACACAAAUGAGGCUCCCCUUCCCCCCACCUGGCUCACCGAUGUCAGAGGUUCCUGGGCCUCGUCAUUGUUCUUGGUGGUAAUGGGGACCCUCUACCCAAUCAGGGAUUGGAUACAAGUCAUGGUCGUUGCGGGUGCCUAGGGAGGGGUAUUGUCCUCUAGGGGCUGCGGCAGUAUUUGGAGCUUGGUGACGUACGUCACCUGGUGGUGGGCCAUAUCCCUGCUGUGGUGGACCAUACCCUGGUUGUUGUGGGUAGUUAUUUUGGGGUGGUGUAUCUAUUCGGCAGUGUCUUGCCCAGUGACCUGGUUGACCACAGAUCCAGCAUAGACCACGGGGUUGUUGUGGUGCCAUGCCUCUAUCUCGCCCUCCCGCUCUAAACCCUCCCCUUUCCAUCUGUCGUGGAGGUUGAGCAUACAUGUGCUGCACGGGCGGGUACGCCGGCGCAGGAGGAGCCAUCGGCUGCUGUAACAUUUGAGUGUUUGAUUUUGUUAUUUUCUUAGCUUCAGUUAGCUUACGGCACUCAUUCUCUAGUUGUUAUACAUAAAUCCCAGCCAUUUGUUAGCUGGCUGAAUUUAUCCAUCUAUUUGUGGCCCCCCUCUGUGGGGGCUGGUAUUUUCUCUAAAAUGCAAUUCAUGUCUGUGAAUGAAAAUGGUUAAUACACUAUAUUUCCAUUGCUCUUGGCGAUGAGUGGCAUUGCAAGUGAUGGCAGUUUUUUGACCGAUUUUAACAUGUUGGGAUGGGUGCUUUUGUGUAUGUGAGCGUGUGUUGUGUAACAAAGCCGACAGCAUGGGUGAUUGACCCCUCUCACAUUCCUGUGAAGAUGAUAUAUCUUGCUCUGGCUGGUUGUGGUAUAUGACUAGCUGCCCUGACAUCUGUGCCUCACAUAUUUGUUGGUUUGGUUCAUAUUCUUCCUCUCCAUAUGUACUCUCUUCCUCCUCUGAUUCGCCCCCACCCUUGCCACUCUCUCCUAUUCUCCUGUCUAUCUUUGCCUGGAAUGGUCCUGCUGGACUCCCUGUCUGAUUUUUCUCCCCCCUCUCGCGCUGCUUUUGCUCCCUGUGCUGCUCUACAUAAGUCCCCGCAGUAUUUCUCCUAUCUUUCUCUCUUUCACUCCCUUGUUUGCCCCUUUAUUAUCUUCUGUAACUCUUCAAAUUGCUCUGUUGUCCCUUCAAAGAUGUUCCCCUCUAAAUCCAAUUGGCCUGGAUUAACUGUGAUUACCGGAGCCUGUAUUGCUCCUGGACGGGUGUCUGUGUACGGCGGAGAGGCCGGGGUAUAAGGACGGUUGUCGAGGUAUGGGGGGUAUGUGUAUAAGGGCAAUGGUCCCGGCUCCAUAGGUGGAGCAGUCUUGGUCACAGUCGUGGUCGCAGUCUUUGUCUGUGCUCCUAUUGCUGCGCAGGCUAAUGAUAUUGCGUGUACUGAAGCUCUCUUUCUGUCUAACUCCUCUGAAGUCUUCUUCCACUUUAUCUUGGCCAGCCAGCCCUGUUGUACUCCAGUGUCCUGCUUUUCUAGCUCGUCUGCCACAGUCUUCUCUGCGGUAGCGCUAUCUCUCCAA